AAGGUUAAGCCUCACGGUUCAUUAGUACCGGUUAGCUCAACGCAUCGCUGCGCUUACACACCCGGCCUAUCAACGUCGUCGUCUUCAACGUUCCUUCAGGACCCUUAAAGGGUCAGGGAGAACUCAUCUCGGGGCAAGUUUCGUGCUUAGAUGCUUUCAGCACUUAUCUCUUCCGCAUUUAGCUACCGGGCAGUGCCAUUGGCAUGACAACCCGAACACCAGUGAUGCGUCCACUCCGGUCCUCUCGUACUAGGAGCAGCCCCCCUCAGUUCUCCAGCGCCCACGGCAGAUAGGGACCGAACUGUCUCACGACGUUCUAAACCCAGCUCGCGUACCACUUUAAAUGGCGAACAGCCAUACCCUUGGGACCUACUUCAGCCCCAGGAUGUGAUGAGCCGACAUCGAGGUGCCAAACACCGCCGUCGAUAUGAACUCUUGGGCGGUAUCAGCCUGUUAUCCCCGGAGUACCUUUUAUCCGUUGAGCGAUGGCCCUUCCAUUCAGAACCACCGGAUCACUAUGACCUGCUUUCGCACCUGCUCGCGCCGUCACGCUCGCAGUCAAGCUGGCUUAUGCCAUUGCACUAACCUCCUGAUGUCCGACCAGGAUUAGCCAACCUUCGUGCUCCUCCGUUACUCUUUAGGAGGAGACCGCCCCAGUCAAACUACCCACCAGACACUGUCCGCAACCCGGAUCACGGGUCCACGUUAGAACAUCAAACAUUAAAGGGUGGUAUUUCAAGGCCGGCUCCAUGCAGACUGGCGUCCACACUUCAAAGCCUCCCACCUAUCCUACACAUCAAGGCUCAAUGUUCAGUGUCAAGCUAUAGUAAAGGUUCACGGGGUCUUUCCGUCUUGCCGCGGGUACACUGCAUCUUCACAGCGAGUUCAAUUUCACUGAGUCUCGGGUGGAGACAGCCUGGCCAUCAUUACGCCAUUCGUGCAGGUCGGAACUUACCCGACAAGGAAUUUCGCUACCUUAGGACCGUUAUAGUUACGGCCGCCGUUUACCGGGGCUUCGAUCAAGAGCUUCGCUUGCGCUGACCCCAUCAAUUAACCUUCCGGCACCGGGCAGGCGUCACACCGUAUACGUCCACUUUCGUGUUUGCACAGUGCUGUGUUUUUAAUAAACAGUUGCAGCCAGCUGGUAUCUUCGACUGAUUUCAGCUCCAUCCGCAAGGGACUUCACCUACAUAUCAGCGUGCCUUCUCCCGAAGUUACGGCACCAUUUUGCCUAGUUCCUUCACCCGAGUUCUCUCAAGCGCCUUGGUAUUCUCUACCUGACCACCUGUGUCGGUUUGGGGUACGAUUUGAUGUUACCUGAUGCUUAGAGGCUUUUCCUGGAAGCAGGGCAUUUGUUGCUUCAGCACCGUAGUGCCUCGUCAUCACGCCUCAGCCUUGAUUUUCCGGAUUUGCCUGGAAAACCAGCCUACACGCUUAAACCGGGACAACCGUCGCCCGGCCAACAUAGCCUUCUCCGUCCCCCCUUCGCAGUAACACCAAGUACAGGAAUAUUAACCUGUUUCCCAUCGACUACGCCUUUCGGCCUCGCCUUAGGGGUCGACUCACCCUGCCCCGAUUAACGUUGGACAGGAACCCUUGGUCUUCCGGCGAGCGGGCUUUUCACCCGCUUUAUCGUUACUUAUGUCAGCAUUCGCACUUCUGAUACCUCCAGCAUGCCUCACAGCACACCUUCGCAGGCUUACAGAACGCUCCCCUACCCAACAACGCAUAAGCGUCGCUGCCGCAGCUUCGGUGCAUGGUUUAGCCCCGUUACAUCUUCCGCGCAGGCCGACUCGACCAGUGAGCUAUUACGCUUUCUUUAAAUGAUGGCUGCUUCUAAGCCAACAUCCUGGCUGUCUGGGCCUUCCCACAUCGUUUCCCACUUAACCAUGACUUUUGGGACCUUAGCUGGCGGUCUGGGUUGUUUCCCUCUUCACGACGGACGUUUAGCACCCGCCGUGUGUCUCCCGUGAUAACAUUCUCCGGUAUUCGCAGUUUGCAUCGGGUUGGUAAGUCGGGAUGACCCCCUUGCCGAAACAGUGCUCUACCCCCGGAGAUGAAUUCACGAGGCGCUACCUAAAUAGCUUUCGGGGAGAACCAGCUAUCUCCCGGUUUGAUUGGCCUUUCACCCCCAGCCACAAGUCAUCCGCUAAUUUUUCAACAUUAGUCGGUUCGGUCCUCCAGUUAGUGUUACCCAACCUUCAACCUGCCCAUGGCUAGAUCACCGGGUUUCGGGUCUAUACCCUGCAACUUAACGCCCAGUUAAGACUCGGUUUCCCUUCGGCUCCCCUAUUCGGUUAACCUUGCUACAGAAUAUAAGUCGCUGACCCAUUAUACAAAAGGUACGCAGUCACACGCCUAAGCGUGCUCCCACUGCUUGUACGUACACGGUUUCAGGUUCUUUUUCACUCCCCUCGCCGGGGUUCUUUUCGCCUUUCCCUCACGGUACUGGUUCACUAUCGGUCAGUCAGGAGUAUUUAGCCUUGGAGGAUGGUCCCCCCAUAUUCAGACAGGAUACCACGUGUCCCGCCCUACUCAUCGAGCUCACAAUAUGUGCAUUUUUGUGUACGGGGCUGUCACCCUGUAUCGCGCGCCUUUCCAGACGCUUCCACUAACACACACACUGAUUCAGGCUCUGGGCUGCUCCCCGUUCGCUCGCCGCUACUGGGGGAAUCUCGGUUGAUUUCUUUUCCUCGGGGUACUUAGAUGUUUCAGUUCCCCCGGUUCGCCUCAUUAACCUAUGGAUUCAGUUAAUGAUAGUGUGACGAAUCACACUGGGUUUCCCCAUUCGGAAAUCGCCGGUUAUAACGGUUCAUAUCACCUUACCGACGCUUAUCGCAGAUUAGCACGUCCUUCAUCGCCUCUGACUGCCAGGGCAUCCACCGUGUACGCUUAGUCGCUUAA
This 2904-nucleotide ribosomal RNA is filed under the name Shigella sonnei 4822-66. RNAcentral describes it as "23S ribosomal RNA". Lineage: Bacteria; Pseudomonadati; Pseudomonadota; Gammaproteobacteria; Enterobacterales; Enterobacteriaceae. The record is from RNAcentral.